UCCUACGGGGAUGCAGCAGUGGGGAAUAUUGGACAAUGGGGGGAACCCUGAUCCAGCCAUGCCGCGUGUGUGAAGAAGGCCUUAUGGUUGUAAAGCACUUUAAGCGAGGAGGAGGCUACUUUGGUUAAUACCUAAAGAUAGUGGACGUUACUCGCAGAAUAAGCACCGGCUAACUCUGUGCCAGCAGCCGCGGUAAUACAGAGGGUGCGAGCGUUAAUCGGAUUUACUGGGCGUAAAGCGUACGUAGGCGGCUUUUUAAGUCGGAUGUGAAAUCCCUGAGCUUAACUUAGGAAUUGCAUUCGAUACUGGGAAGCUAGAGUAUGGGAGAGGAUGGUAGAAUUCCAGGUGUAGCGGUGAAAUGCGUAGAGAUCUGGAGGAAUACCGAUGGCGAAGGCAGCCAUCUGGCCUAAUACUGACGCUGAGGUACGAAAGCAUGGGGAGCAAACAGGAUUAGAUACCCUGGUAGUCCAUGCCGUAAACGAUGUCUACUAGCCGUUGGGGCCUUUGAGGCUUUAGUGGCGCAGCUAACGCGAUAAGUAGACCGCCUGGGGAGACUUCACGC
RNAcentral lists this ribosomal RNA (562 nucleotides) under Acinetobacter sp. BN10. Its description in RNAcentral is "bacterial SSU rRNA". It matches the Rfam family "Bacterial small subunit ribosomal RNA", at positions 337 to 889 of the family's 1533-position model. Lineage: Bacteria; Pseudomonadati; Pseudomonadota; Gammaproteobacteria; Moraxellales; Moraxellaceae. The record is from RNAcentral.